AGAUCCUGUGUUGUUCACGUGGGCUGCAGGUGGAGACUGUCCGACCUGACUUCUCCGCUCCUCCACCCCGCCCACCUGCACGCGGCUGCUCUCGCUGACCAGCAAGGCGAGGCGCAGCCGCAUCUCGAACAAGCCUAAUUCAAAAUUCACCCGUUUUUCGGAGGGGGGGAGGGGGGAUUUCUUUGCUUAGCUCCUGCAGACAAUGGGGGCUGCAAAACAGUUUAAUGUGCAGGUGUACACAUUCAACUCGGAGAGACCUACUGUAUUCCACAAAAAACAAGAAAAAUCGGAUUUUCGCGGAAGCCAACCCACUCGUUAGGACUCCCCCUAUCACUAGUAAUGCCCCAACACACCAGGAGGAUGAAGACUAGCACACUCUUUCUCCGAUACAUGUGAAGUCAGCCACCGCUUCUUUUCGAGCUGCUGCUGAUGCAGCAUUGCCAAGCAGCCAGCACAUUUGGAGGAAAGCGCAGCGGCAGGUGAACCCGAGGAACCUGAGGAAAGUGGUGGGAAAUCUCGAGCCAGUGACAUGUUGAACUACACUGCCAGUUUGAGGGAAUGUCAUUGCCAUCCACUGCAAAGGAGGCAAAGGGCGCACGGGUACGAUGGUGUGUACAUGGUUGAUUGACAGCGUUUAGUUUGAGAGUGCGCAGGUGUGGGAAAGGGCAAUGGCAGUGAUCUGAAGGUGCGGAUCAUAGUGAAAAGAGAGCAGGUGUUCCAGUGUGUCUGUGCCACGCAGACGAACUGUAGGCUGUUCCCAGAUACUGAAAACAAUGCCGUGGUGAUCAGCUUUCAGGAAGGGCCAGUGGUUUGUGGUGAUGUUAAGGUCAUGUUUGAAUCCAGGGCUGGUCUUCCAAAGGGGUAUGAGGACUAUCCUUUCUAUUUCUGGUUCAACACUUCAUUUGUAGAGAACAACAGGCUCUAUCUGUCAAGGGAGGAACCGGACAACCCACGUAAGUCCAAAACCUGGGACAUCUACAAGGAGGACUUUGGUGUGACCGUGUCUUUCAGUGACCCUGCAUUUAUGUAGCAGACGACACUUGCUUGUGUAUCUCAACUAAAACCCUUAAGCCCUGCACAAGGUCUAAAUCUUUGCUCUAAUGUAGGUUUUCACACACUUAUAAAAGGCGAGUGAUGUUUAGGGAUUGGAUUCGGGCAUAUUGUGCCCCUAAAGCUAUAGCUAUAGCUAUAUAACCUCAACUUUAUGUCCAUCCCCCAUCUUCACUGUAAGAGCUUUUUACUGAGCCGUGCAUACACCACAAUAUUAUGCAUUUGUUUGUCAAAUGUUUUUUUGUCUUUAAAUGAAGACAAAUGUUUGUGUCAGUUUAGCAUAUUAAGCCUCCAAAAUGUAAAUCUUACUCUUUAAGCUUGAGUGUACAUCAAAUAAAGCAAUCGAGGCUGCCACUGUGAAAUGGUCAAUGGUUAUGUGUGCAGAAACAUGUUUUUGUAGUACACAUGUAUUGAAAUAAAUACUAAUGUCUCUGUAA
Molecule: long non-coding RNA, 1487 nt
Organism: Astyanax mexicanus (Mexican tetra)
Lineage: Eukaryota; Metazoa; Chordata; Actinopteri; Characiformes; Acestrorhamphidae
Exons: 9
Source: RefSeq, a predicted model, not a curated record